Molecule: ribosomal RNA, 794 nt
Filed under: uncultured bacterium
Lineage: Bacteria
Description: bacterial SSU rRNA
Rfam family: Bacterial small subunit ribosomal RNA
Source: RNAcentral
UAGAGUUUGAUCAUGGCUCAGGAUGAACGCUAGCGGCAGGCUUAACACAUGCAAGUCGAGGGGCAUCGGGAGGGAAGCUUGCUUUCCUUGCCGGCGACCGGCGCACGGGUGAGUAACACGUAUGCAACCUGCCCUCUUCAGGGGGACAACCUUCCGAAAGGGAGGCUAAUCCCGCGUAUAUCGGUUUCGGGCAUCCGAGAUCGAGGAAAGAUUCAUCGGAAGAGGAUGGGCAUGCGGCGCAUUAGCUUGACGGCGGGGUAACGGCCCACCGUGGCGACGAUGCGUAGGGGUUCUGAGAGGAAGGUCCCCCACACUGGUACUGAGACACGGACCAGACUCCUACGGGAGGCAGCAGUGAGGAAUAUUGGUCAAUGGGAGAGAUCCUGAACCAGCCAAGCCGCGUGAGGGAAGACGGCCCUAUGGGUUGUAAACCUCUUUUGUCGGAGAACAAAACCCGGGACGUGUCCCGGACUGCGUGUAUCCGAAGAAAAAGCAUCGGCUAACUCCGUGCCAGCAGCCGCGGUAAUACGGAGGAUGCGAGCGUUAUCCGGAUUUAUUGGGUUUAAAGGGUGCGUAGGCGGUCCGUUAAGUCAGCGGUAAAAUUGCGGGGCUCAACCCCGUCGAGCCGUUGAAACUGGCAGACUUGAGUUGGCGAGAAGUACGCGGAAUGCGCGGUGUAGCGGUGAAAUGCAUAGAUAUCGCGCAGAACUCCGAUUGCGAAGGCAGCGUACCGGCGCCACACUGACGCUGAGGCACGAAAGCGUGGGGAUCGAACAGGAUUAGAUACCCUGGUA